RNAcentral lists this ribosomal RNA (253 nucleotides) under uncultured bacterium. RNAcentral describes it as "partial 16S ribosomal RNA". It matches the Rfam family "Bacterial small subunit ribosomal RNA", at positions 524 to 776 of the family's 1533-position model. The record is from RNAcentral.
UACAGAGGUGGCAAGCGUUGUUCGGAAUUACUGGGCGUAAAGGGCGCGUAGGCGGUCUUGUAAGUCUUGUGUGAAAUCCCUCGGCUUAACUGAGGAACUGCACGGGAUACUGCGAGACUUGAGAUCGGAAGAGGGAAGCGGAAUUCCGGGUGUAGCGGUGAAAUGCGUAGAUAUCCGGAGGAACACCGGUGGCGAAGGCGGCUUCCUGGACCGACACUGACGCUGAGGCGCGAAAGCUAGGGGAGCAAACGGG